RNAcentral lists this ribosomal RNA (492 nucleotides) under uncultured bacterium. RNAcentral describes it as "partial 16S ribosomal RNA". It matches the Rfam family "Bacterial small subunit ribosomal RNA", at positions 29 to 507 of the family's 1533-position model. The record is from RNAcentral.
AGUGAACGCUGGCGGUAGGCCUAACACAUGCAAGUCGAACGGCAGCACAGUAAGAGCUUGCUCUUACGGGUGGCGAGUGGCGGACGGGUGAGGAAUACAUCGGAAUCUACUUUUUCGUGGGGGAUAACGUAGGGAAACUUACGCUAAUACCGCAUACGACCUACGGGUGAAAGCAGGGGAUCUUCGGACCUUGCGCGAUUGAAUGAGCCGAUGUCGGAUUAGCUGGUUGGCGGGGUAAAGGCCCACCAAGGCGACGAUCCGUAGCUGGUCUGAGAGGAUGAUCAGCCACACUGGAACUGAGACACGGUCCAGACUCCUACGGGAGGCAGCAGUGGGGAAUAUUGGACAAUGGGCGCAAGCCUGAUCCAGCCAUACCGCGUGGGUGAAGAAGGCCUUCGGGUUGUAAAGCCCUUUUGUUGGGAAAGAAAAGCAGCAGGUUAAUACCCCGCUGUUCUGACGGUACCCAAAGAAUAGGCACCGGCUAACUUCGUG